GCGCCCGUGGCUCAAAGGAUAGAGCACUUGGCUUCGGACCAAGGGGUUGGGGGUUCGAGUCCCUCCGGGCGCACCA
RNAcentral lists this transfer RNA (76 nucleotides) under Candidatus Taylorbacteria bacterium RIFCSPHIGHO2_01_FULL_44_110. RNAcentral describes it as "tRNA-Arg". It matches the Rfam family "tRNA". From Rfam's summary of the family: Transfer RNA (tRNA) molecules are approximately 80 nucleotides in length. Lineage: Bacteria; Candidatus Tayloriibacteriota. RNAcentral also lists the same sequence under 5 other names. The record is from RNAcentral.